UACGGAGGGUGCAAGCGUUAUCCGGAUUCACUGGGUUUAAAGGGUGCGUAGGCGGGCAUGUAAGUCCGUGGUGAAAUCUCCGAGCUUAACUCGGAAACUGCCAUGGGUACUAUGUGUCUUGAAUGUUGUGGAGGUGAGCGGAAUAUGUCAUGUAGCGGUGAAAUGCUUAGAUAUGACAUAGAACACCAAUUGCGAAGGCAGCUCACUACACAAAUAUUGACGCUGAGGCACGAAAGCGUGGGGAUCAAACAGG
RNAcentral lists this ribosomal RNA (253 nucleotides) under uncultured bacterium. Its description in RNAcentral is "partial 16S ribosomal RNA". It matches the Rfam family "Bacterial small subunit ribosomal RNA", at positions 524 to 776 of the family's 1533-position model. The record is from RNAcentral.